Long non-coding RNA from Anguilla rostrata (American eel), 665 nucleotides. RefSeq lists it as uncharacterized. NCBI's taxonomy places the organism in Eukaryota, Metazoa, Chordata, Actinopteri, Anguilliformes, Anguillidae. The record is from RefSeq and is a predicted model, not a curated record. The transcript is spliced from 2 exons.
GGGUUCAGAGUGAGCUUCAGCCCUGAGGGGCUUCAGAGUGAGCUUCAGCCCUAUCUUCGGUUCAGACUUGUGAGUCACUGAAGUCUCUGCCCAUUUUUUUGUUUUAUGAAGCCUAAGUUUUUCCAAAGCUAAUUGAGUUUUUUUUCCUCCUCCGCAUUAGGGCCUGCUAUCAUUAUUUAAAAUGGGCUUCCUGGUAUCAUUAGUUACGAGGUCUGGAAAAAGUGUGUUACCGUGCCGAGGGUGUUAUUAGAGGCGGACCAGAUGUCGGCUCAAUGAUCUUAAUUUGGGCAGCUCUGUCAACGCCGCAGCUGGUGCGCAAUUGUUUUGCGUGCUGAGGGGAGUGGCCAGGUUGCAGCCCGGUCGCUGCGAACCUUUAGAAAACGCCGGAAACUCCCGUCAAUGAUGUAAUGGUGCCGUGGUUCAGAGACUGGGCAUGGCCGUCUUGGCGGCGGCUGUUGUCGGCGACCUUAUCUGCACGCCUGCGGUGCUUAUCCUGGCUUUGUGCGGCAAAGGCUGCUUUUUCCUGGCGUUGGAGACCCCGAGAUGGAGGAGCGGGCGCUCGAUCGCCCCCCCCCCCCCCCCCCCCCCCUCGUUCCAAUUUGAAUUCGGUUCGCGUAGCGCCCUCCGGUGGAGACGAGAGUCGCGCCGACGCUUUGUAGACAAAA